RNAcentral lists this ribosomal RNA (492 nucleotides) under uncultured bacterium. Its description in RNAcentral is "partial 16S ribosomal RNA". It matches the Rfam family "Bacterial small subunit ribosomal RNA", at positions 29 to 507 of the family's 1533-position model. The record is from RNAcentral.
AGUGAACGCUGGCGGUAUGCCUAAUACAUGCAAGUCGAACGGCAGCACAGUAAGAGUUUGCUCCUACGGGUGGCGAGUGGCGGACGGGUGAGGAAUACAUAGGCUUCUUCUUUUUCGUGGGGGAUAACGUAGGGCAACUUAUGCUACUACAGCAUACGUCCUACGGCUGAAUGCAGGAGAUAAUCGGAGCUUGCGCGUCUGAUUGAGACGGUGUCGCAUUAGCUAGUUGGCUGGGUAAAGGCCCACCAAGGCAACGAUACGUAGCAGAUCUGAGAGGAUGAUCGGCCACACUGGAACUGAGACACGGUCCAGACUCCUACGGGAGGCAGCAGUGGGGAAUAUUGGACAAUGGGCGCAAGCCUGAUGCAGCCAUACCGCGUGGGUGAUGAAGGUCUUCGGAUUGUAAAGCCCUUUUGUCGGGGAAGAAAAGCUGCGUAAGAAUACCCCGCUAUUCUGACGGUACCCAAAGAGUAAGCACCGGCUAACUUCGUG